ACAAACGAGAGUUUGAUCCUGGCUCAGAAUCAACGCUGGCGGCGUGCCUCAGACAUGCAAGUCGAACGCGAAAGGUUCCUUCGGGGACCGAGUAGAGUGGCGUCCGGGUGAGUAACACGUAGGUAAUCUACCUCUGGGUGGGGAAUAACGACCGGAAACGGUCGCUAAUACCGCAUAAUGCAGCGGCACCACAUGGUGACAGUUGUUAAAGCGGGGGAUCGCAAGACCUCGCGC
This 234-nucleotide ribosomal RNA is filed under the name Acidobacteriota bacterium. Its description in RNAcentral is "Acidobacteria bacterium (rhizosphere metagenome) partial 16S ribosomal RNA". It matches the Rfam family "Bacterial small subunit ribosomal RNA", at positions 1 to 218 of the family's 1533-position model. Lineage: Bacteria; Pseudomonadati; Acidobacteriota. The record is from RNAcentral.